This is a long non-coding RNA of Suricata suricatta (meerkat), 319 nucleotides long. RefSeq lists it as uncharacterized. The record is from RefSeq and is a predicted model, not a curated record. The transcript is spliced from 3 exons. NCBI's taxonomy places the organism in Eukaryota, Metazoa, Chordata, Mammalia, Carnivora, Herpestidae.
GCUUCACCACCCCCCCUCCUUCCACAGACCCCUGCCUCCCCUUCACCGCGUGCGCCGAGGUGGACGGGUGGCCCUGCCCCUCGGCCAGGGCCAGCAGCAAGCCGGAGGCCAGACAGCAGGCGGCGCUCUCCGCCCUCCGCUGCAUCUGCAGUCAGAUGGAGAGCCCAAAGACCCCAGAGACCCCCUGCAGGCUUCUACACGCACCAUUGAGUGUAGAGAACAUCCUGACCCAUGAGCAGCGCUGCGCGGCCGUGGUCAGCGCCGGCUUUGACCGUCUGGUGGACCAGGCCUCCCCCUACUGGGCCUGUAAGGGCACCGU